UACGUAGGGCGCAAGCGUUAUCCGGAAUUAUUGGGCGUAAAGAGCUCGUAGGCGGCUUGGCAAGUCGGAUGUGAAAACUCCAGGCUCAACCUGGAGCCGCCAUUCGAUACUGCUAUGGCUAGAGUCCGGUAGGGGAGUGUGGAAUUCCCGGUGUAGCGGUGAAAUGCGCAGAUAUCGGGAGGAACACCGAUGGCGAAGGCAGCACUCUGGGCCGGUACUGACGCUGAGGAGCGAAAGCGUGGGGAGCGAACAGG
Molecule: ribosomal RNA, 254 nt
Filed under: uncultured bacterium
Lineage: Bacteria
Description: partial 16S ribosomal RNA
Rfam family: Bacterial small subunit ribosomal RNA
Source: RNAcentral